RNAcentral lists this ribosomal RNA (253 nucleotides) under uncultured bacterium. RNAcentral describes it as "partial 16S ribosomal RNA". It matches the Rfam family "Bacterial small subunit ribosomal RNA", at positions 524 to 776 of the family's 1533-position model. The record is from RNAcentral.
UACGGAGGAUGCAAGCGUUAUCCGGAAUUAUUGGGCGUAAAGCGUCCGCAGGUGGUGCUUCAAGUCUGCUGUUAAAGGCAGAAGCUUAACUUCUGUUAGGCAGUGGAAACUGAAGAACUAGAGGUCAGUAGGGGUAGCAGGAAUUCCCAGUGUAGCGGUGAAAUGCGUAGAGAUUGGGAAGAACAUCGGUGGCGAAAGCGUGCUACUGGGCUGAAUCUGACACUGAGGGACGAAAGCUAGGGGAGCAAAAGGG